AUCCUGGCUCAGAUUGAACGCUGGCGGCAGGCCUAACACAUGCAAGUCGAGCGGAUGAAGUAGCUUGCUACUGAUUCAGCGGCGGACGGGUGAGUAAUGCCUAGGAAUCUGCCUGGUAGUGGGGGACAACGUUUCGAAAGGAACGCUAAUACCGCAUACGUCCUACGGGAGAAAGUGGGGGACCCUCGGGCCUCACGCUAUCAGAUGAGCCUAGGUCGGAUUAGCUAGUUGGUGGGGUAAUGGCUCACCAAGGCGACGAUCCGUAACUGGUCUGAGAGGAUGAUCAGUCACACUGGAACUGAGACACGGUCCAGACUCCUACGGGAGGCAGCAGUGAGGAAUAUUGGACAAUGGGCGAAAGCCUGAUCCAGCCAUGCCGCGUGUGUGAAGAAGGUCUUCGGAUUGUAAAGCACUUUAAGUUGGGAGGAAGGGUCGUAACCUAAUACGUUGCGAUUUUGACGUUACCAACAGAAUAAGCACCGGCUAACUUCGUG
Molecule: ribosomal RNA, 494 nt
Filed under: uncultured bacterium
Lineage: Bacteria
Description: bacterial SSU rRNA
Rfam family: Bacterial small subunit ribosomal RNA
Source: RNAcentral